CACGUAGGGGGCAAGCGUUGUCCGGAUUUAUUGGGCGUAAAGAGCUCGUAGGUGGUUCGGUAAGUCAGGUGUGAAACCUCCAGGCUCAACCUGGAGACGCCACUUGAUACUGCUGUGACUGGAGUCCGGUAGGGGAGCGUGGAAUUCCUGGUGUAGCGGUGAAAUGCGCAGAUAUCAGGAGGAACACCGGUGGCGAAGGCGCCACUCUGGGCCGAAACUGACGCUGAGGAGCGAAAGCGUGGGUAGCAAACAGG
This 254-nucleotide ribosomal RNA is filed under the name uncultured bacterium. RNAcentral's name for it is "partial 16S ribosomal RNA". It matches the Rfam family "Bacterial small subunit ribosomal RNA", at positions 524 to 776 of the family's 1533-position model. The record is from RNAcentral.